RNAcentral lists this small RNA (115 nucleotides) under Marmota monax (woodchuck). Lineage: Eukaryota; Metazoa; Chordata; Mammalia; Rodentia; Sciuridae. The record is from RNAcentral.
GCCAGGCACAGUGGCGCAUGCCUGUAAUCCCAGCAGCUCGGGAGGCUGAGACAGGAGGGUCGCAAGUUCAACGACAGUCUCAGCAAAGGCGAGGUGCUAAGCCACUCUGUCUCUA